Lemur catta (Ring-tailed lemur) is the source of this 571-nucleotide long non-coding RNA. RefSeq lists it as uncharacterized. NCBI's taxonomy places the organism in Eukaryota, Metazoa, Chordata, Mammalia, Primates, Lemuridae. The record is from RefSeq and is a predicted model, not a curated record. The transcript has 2 exons.
UCUACUGCAAGUCUAGGUGAGCCUGUAGCCAAGAGAAAGGCGAUUACAAUGGAAAUGAAAGUAGAAAUAAUUAAGCAUUGGCAGAAAGCCCGCACACCGUCAUUCACUGGGAGAGCGUUAGGCUUCAGUCACUCAGCAGUUACGAAGGACAAAGUUGGAAUAAUGGAACAGGGGAAAGGCAGUGCUCCAGUGAAGGCGUCUAUUAGUACUAAGCAGCAUAGUGGAUUAAUUACUGAAAUGGGAAGUUUAUUAUUGAUUCGCUUAGAAGGCCAAAGUUAGUGUAACAUUCCUAUCAGCCUGGCGUUGACGCAACAUUAGCCGGAGCCAUUCUGGGCACACGAUGGCCUGAGGUCACCCGAGGCUGCUCCCAUGACAGACAGAGCCCACAGCUCCCGCUUCCUGACGUGUGUCAUAUUGGCCCUUGGCCUUCUCAAAAAGUCCCUCGACAGCCUCAGCAUUUGCUUAAACAUAAACAUAUCUACACUCCACCUGACCCAGGACUGCCAAUUGAUGGAGAUUUAUUCUAGACUCAUUAUAAAUGCCCACACUAUAAAUAUGACUUUACACUUGA